GGUUAAGCGAAUAAGCGUACACGGUGGAUGCCUAGGCAAUCAGAGGCGAUGAAGGACGUGCUAAUCUGCGAAAAGCGUCGGUAAGGUGAUAUGAACCGUUAUACCCGACGAUAUCCGAAUGGGGAAACCCAGUAUCCAAUGGAUACUAUCAUUAACUGAAUCCAUAGGUUAAUGAGGCGAACCGGGAGAACUGAAACAUCUCAGUACCCCGAGGAAAAGAAAUCAA
RNAcentral lists this ribosomal RNA (226 nucleotides) under Proteus mirabilis. Its description in RNAcentral is "partial 23S ribosomal RNA". It matches the Rfam family "Bacterial large subunit ribosomal RNA", at positions 1 to 228 of the family's 2925-position model. RNAcentral also lists the same sequence under 1 other name. Lineage: Bacteria; Pseudomonadati; Pseudomonadota; Gammaproteobacteria; Enterobacterales; Morganellaceae. The record is from RNAcentral.